UGAUACCUACGGGGCGCAGCAGUGGGGGAUAUUGCACAAUGGGGGAAACCCUGAUGCAGCGACGCCGCGUGAGUGAAGAAGUAUUUCGGUAUGUAAAGCUCUUUCAGCAGGGAAGAAAAAAGACGGUACCUGACUAAGAAGCCCCGGCUAACUACGUGCCAGCAGCCGCGGUAAUACGUGGGGGGCAAGCGUUCUCCGGAUUUACUGGGUGUAAAGGGAGCGUAGACGGCAAUA
This 234-nucleotide ribosomal RNA is filed under the name uncultured bacterium. RNAcentral describes it as "partial 16S ribosomal RNA". It matches the Rfam family "Bacterial small subunit ribosomal RNA", at positions 333 to 583 of the family's 1533-position model. The record is from RNAcentral.